GUCGAGCGAACAGACGAGGAGCUUGCUCCUCUGACGUUAGCGGCGGACGGGUGAGUAACACGUGGAUAACCUACCUAUAAGACUGGGAUAACUUCGGGAAACCGGAGCUAAUACCGGAUAAUAUAUUGAACCGCAUGGUUCAAUAGUGAAAGACGGUUUUGCUGUCACUUAUAGAUGGAUCCGCGCCGCAUUAGCUAGUUGGUAAGGUAACGGCUUACCAAGGCGACGAUGCGUAGCCGACCUGAGAGGGUGAUCGGCCACACUGGAACUGAGACACGGUCCAGACUCCUACGGGAGGCGGCAGUAGGGAAUCUUCCGCAAUGGGCGAAAGCCUGACGGAGCAACGCCGCGUGAGUGAUGAAGGUCUUCGGAUCGUAAAACUCUGUUAUUAGGGAAGAACAAAUGUGUAAGUAACUAUGCACGUCUUGACGGUACCUAAUCAGAAAGCCACGGCUAACUACGUGCCAGCAGCCGCGGUAAUACGUAGGUGGCAAGCGUUAUCCGGAAUUAUUGGGCGUAAAGCGCGCGUAGGCGGUUUUUUAAGUCUGAUGUGAAAGCCCACGGCUCAACCGUGGAGGGUCAUUGGAAACUGGAAAACUUGAGUGCAGAAGAGGAAAGUGGAAUUCCAUGUGUAGCGGUGAAAUGCGCAGAGAUAUGGAGGAACACCAGUGGCGAAGGCGACUUUCUGGUCUGUAACUGACGCUGAUGUGCGAAAGCGUGGGGAUCAAACAGGAUUA
This 737-nucleotide ribosomal RNA is filed under the name uncultured Staphylococcus sp. Its description in RNAcentral is "bacterial SSU rRNA". It matches the Rfam family "Bacterial small subunit ribosomal RNA", at positions 61 to 780 of the family's 1533-position model. The record is from RNAcentral. Lineage: Bacteria; Bacillati; Bacillota; Bacilli; Caryophanales; Staphylococcaceae.